AGUACUUCUUUUGUGGUUGAUCUAAACAUUAUUUAUAACAAUUCUGUUAAAGCUGUCCAAACAAGCACUCUCUGUACAGUUUCGUUGGUGAAAUUUAGUGUAUUUUAAUCGUAGGAUUUUGAAUGCAGUGUGAUAGGUUUUAUAACAUUUCCCACUCUGAACACAAUAGUGCAAUUCACCUUGAUGUAAAUAAGUACCAUAGGGUGGUGGUACAAUUCACUGCUGUAAAUAAUUAUAACAUUACACAAUUCAUGUACAAUUUCAUUCAUUUACAUUACUGUGUUUGUCAUGGGUAUAACUGCAAGAGAGAGAGAGAGAUUGGUUCAAUGAAAAUGACUUAUAAAUCAUAUCAAAACAAAGUCCUUGGUGAUAUUCCAAAUACCCAAUAUGAGAUGGGAAUUCCUAGCCAUAAAGUAUGAAAUAAAUACCAUAUUGUAGCAAUAAUUUUGGGUUUCUCCAAUUGAAUUUUUUACCAGAAUUCCACAUUGUAGUCAUUAUCAUCAUCAUCGUCAUAACAUCCACUUUUCCAAGCUUGCAUAAAUUACAGUUAUGGCUAUACUAAAAUUAUUUUUUUUUUUUGCAAUUUUUGUUUUUAAGUAUUUAACAUAAUGAAUAAUUCUUUUGAGACUCCUAAAAUCUUGAUAAUGUGUAUAUGUGUGUGUUUGUGUUUGUGUAAUUUGUAACUGCUUGUUUGAUUUUUUUAUUGCUGCAUAACAAUAUUGUUCCAGUGGAGAAGA
Molecule: long non-coding RNA, 737 nt
Organism: Octopus sinensis (East Asian common octopus)
Lineage: Eukaryota; Metazoa; Mollusca; Cephalopoda; Octopoda; Octopodidae
Exons: 2
Source: RefSeq, a predicted model, not a curated record